CUAUUAAAUUAAGGGAUAAAUUAAAAAAUAAGUAAAACACACACUUCAAUUCAAUGUAUUUUGUUAUGUAAUGGAUUAAAGUGCAUGUUUUUCUUUAUUUUUAACUUAUCCUUAACUUAAUAACCUAAAAAAACUCCUUAUUGGAGCAUUACUAAUAUAUGUAUGUAGUAUCAUUCUCUAGUGUGAAUGUCCUCAUAUUUUUCAUAUGGCCAUAUUGGUAAACAGUGCAGUUUAAUAGUGCAUUAAAAAAUAACUCUAUUAAACCUUAUAGUUUGCAUUGACUUUAUUAAAUCACACGGUUUAACAGCAUGCCCACAUUAAAAAAAAUACAUUGUAUAUCUCAUAAAAAAAAAAUUAUGUUUGCUAUACCAAUAAAAUUGGAGCAAGCGUCAUGACACUUAUUAAUGUCAGAUUUCUUAGGUUAUUCAAUAAAAUUGGUUUCAAUCUCGCUUUUAUUCAAGAAUUUCAUGUUUGUAUCCGAUUAAUCUCAUCAAAGUUGAUGUGUUUUUCCUCUAACUAAUGGUUAGGGAUGUAAUUUAUGUCUCUUAAUUUAAAAAGUUUAGGUUUGGGCUUUGAUUAUUUGAUCAUUAAUCUUGUAGCCUUUGGAUACUUUCAAUGAGAGUGUAUUAAUCCACAUUAAGUAUGUUGUAUUUGGACUAUUAAGCUGAAACUAGACGGCUUCUGUUUACUAAGCAAUACAAGAAUUUGAGUUAUAAUUAGGUCAGCUUUAUGUUUGGCUGUAACUAGAUGGGUUCUGUUUACUAACUUAUCUGUGUUAUCGUCUUUAUUAACCCAUUCUUUAAGCUAUAUUAGGGUAUUAGAAACAGAGCUAUGAAAGAAAUUAGAACCUGCAUUCAUAUACAAGUAUUAGAGUUGCGCAACUCCAUUCAUUUUCCCCCAGUGUUGGCCACAGCUGUCUUGUGUGCAUGCAAUUUAGAGAAUCAAUAAAUUUAAGUGUAGACUAACCACGAUGUUAAAUUUACGGUAAAAGAAAACGAUGUUAAUGUUAGUGAAUUUAUAAUAAAAAGCUAACCACGCAUGAAACUUAUUUUUAUUUAAUUUUUGUUAACACUGUUGUAUUUGAAUUAUUCUCCUCGUUGUUGUUGCGACUUGAGAUAUCAGAAUUAUUUUGUUAUGGCAGUGUGCGCUAUCAAUGUUACAGCUUACUCUGGUUUUUAGUGUAUACUAUAUUUUGGCAGAACAAGUUUACAUUCACUUGGCUUUUGGGUCCAGUGCUAAUUUUUGAAGAUACUCGUACUGAACUGAGUGACCAAUUUCUUUUAUGCUAAUUUUUGAAGAAACGUUUGCUACACUUUUCUUACAUUUUUAGUUAUCAAGAGCUAAAUUUUCAACACA
RNAcentral lists this long non-coding RNA (1356 nucleotides) under Citrus x clementina. RNAcentral's name for it is "Citrus clementina (C. clementina) long non-coding RNA (CCLE_LNC002313)". The record is from RNAcentral. Lineage: Eukaryota; Viridiplantae; Streptophyta; Magnoliopsida; Sapindales; Rutaceae.